UAGGGAAUCUUCCGCAAUGGGCGAAAGCCUGACGGAGCAACGCCGCGUGAGUGAUGAAGGUCUUCGGAUCGUAAAACUCUGUUAUUAGGGAAGAACAAAUGUGUAAGUAACUAUGCACGUCUUGACGGUACCUAAUCAGAAAGCCACGGCUAACUACGUGCCAGCAGCCGCGGUAAUACGUAGGUGGCAAGCGUUAUCCGGAAUUAUUGGGCGUAAAGCGCGCGUAGGCGGUUUUUUAAGUCUGAUGUGAAAGCCCACGGCUCAACCGUGGAGGGUCAUUGGAAACUGGAAAACUUGAGUGCAGAAGAGGAAAGUGGAAUUCCAUGUGUAGCGGUGAAAUGCGCAGAGAUAUGGAGGAACACCAGUGGCGAAGGCGACUUUCUGGUCUGUAACUGACGCUGAUGUGCGAAAGCGUGGGGAUCAACAGG
This 428-nucleotide ribosomal RNA is filed under the name Acidobacteriota bacterium. RNAcentral's name for it is "Acidobacteria bacterium partial 16S ribosomal RNA". It matches the Rfam family "Bacterial small subunit ribosomal RNA", at positions 355 to 775 of the family's 1533-position model. The record is from RNAcentral. Lineage: Bacteria; Pseudomonadati; Acidobacteriota.